Long non-coding RNA from Mya arenaria, 5428 nucleotides. RefSeq lists it as uncharacterized. Lineage: Eukaryota; Metazoa; Mollusca; Bivalvia; Myida; Myidae. The record is from RefSeq and is a predicted model, not a curated record. The transcript has 3 exons.
GUACCUGAUUAUAUCCAUGAAUAUUAAAUACUUACUUUUGAUAUAAUAAUGGAUAAAUAAUAAAGGGGACCAUAAUGAGUAAUAGUAUGAAAAAUCUGAUCUUGUUUCAGCAGUUUGAUUUCACAUCAUGUAUAGUGACAUUGAAGGGGCAAAAUCCUAAUUGUGACAUAUUUACAUCAGAUUUAAAUCAUCAAAAACACUAUUGAUAACAAUAAAUUAAGUAUGUUUCACCACAAACCAUUCUGUUAUAUAUGGCGCAUAUUCAUCACCAAAAGAGGUAUUCCUAAGUACUAAUGUUAACGAUCAUUUAUUACGAUGCAUAGGUGACGGAAGCUAUGUGGCAUAAAUUCAAUAUCAAAGAAAGAGCUUGAAUUACGUGCAAUUUGAUACUUUAAGCAAAUAUUAGUACAAUAUGAUAUUUUUGUUUCUCUUACUAUGUUCAUAAUAGUAAAAAUGCUUUUGGAACAUGUACAUGGCGAUUAAAGCAUACAUUGCAUAUGUCAGAGGCUGUUUAGGUUCUCAUUAUUCAUUUUUGUUGUAAAAUGACGUGUCGGUAUUAACUUUGAAUAACACUGAUACGAACACAUCAAACAAUUGCGGUACUUGACCAGAUGGAAAUGAGAUGUAAAGCCAUAUCAUACAUUCAUGUCAUUCAAAUUCAGCCACUCAGAGAGAUGGAAAGGAUUGCAAAGCUGAGUUUUACUUUCAGUUUUACUCUCACCUGACUGAUGCAGAUACAGUAACCUACUUGUUCAUGAAAAAAAGGCCCAAAAAUUCCAACAUGGAGCCUUACUAAAUCAACUUGGUGUAGUUUGACAAUUAAAAUUCUUCAGAAUUCGACGGUUGUACCAUGCAGCAGUCAUACUAUGAAGUGUCUCACAGAUUUUUUUCUAAUUUCUGCAAUAUUGAGGUACAGUUUAGCGUAAAGAAGAUUAAUCUUCUGACAGUUAGAAGUAACUGUUCUUUUAAAUUAACAUUAACCGUUCCUGCAUUUUUGAGUGAUUAUAGAGUGAAUAUGUUUCCAUAUUAAAUGUUGUCUUUUAUGUGUAAAAUUUCACAUGCUAUAAAUGAUUACAAAUACAUGAACGCACAUUUUGUUUCUUAAUAUAUGCACGUUUUGAUUCCAAUAAUUAAACACUCAAGUGUAUUAAAUUUGGUUUGAAACAGAAAUGUCGUCCUGUUGUUUGUUUCUAAACAAUCAGUAGUAUGUAUUCGUGUUGAUAGUUACCAUGUCAAUUCAGAAAAUGAGUCAAUUUUUAAACAGUUACCAUGGUAGCCAGAGUCUAGUGUUCUAGGGAAACUGUCAAUGUUGUCUUAAAUUUAUUUACCCUUAAAAUUUGUUGACAAUGUCAUUCUUAUAUUUUAUUGUUAAGAAUUGCUUAGUGGUGAUAAGUUCACGUUUUUAACAAUUGUCAGGAAAUCCAAGAUAAACUUACAGAAUUUUCCUGUUUAACAUAAAAUGAUGUUUCUUAGCAUUUUUUUUUAUUUUUAUUAAAUGGUUACCAUAGCAACUAUUUUUUUGUUUGCCUUCCUAUUUAUAAUACUAUUCAUUGUGAAAAUGCAAAUGUUCAUCAGUGAAUGUAAGAAAAUAAAUGUUCUGUAACUUUUACUUUAUUGUUAGCUCAUGCUUCAAAAUAUGCGGCAUUUUUAAAAUUUCCUAAAAAUAAAGAAAAAAAUUAUCGUGAAAUAUUCUGCUUAAAACAUUAUUUUAACUCUGAUUUUUAGAAAUUUGUAUUAAAUAAAGAAAAUAGUUUGUUUACAUUUCUCAUUUCAUUUAAAUUCAGAGGUUGUGAAUUUGACCUAUUUGGCAGAAUUUUUUUUAUAAAAAUAUAAAAUUAAAAGAGCCAUAAUUCUGUCAAUUCUGAUAAUAAUAAUAAAUUCUGAUGGAUUUUUAAAAGAUAUGCAUAUUUGAGUUUGUAAUGACCAAACCUUUAAAAUGGUAUAUCACUUGACUAUACCACAUGAAAUUAUUUAUUUACGUUGUUAUUGCUAUCAAUAGUUUAUAUAGUGAAUAACAUUUGAUAUUGUUUUCCUGUACGUUGAAUUUACGAUGAAUAAUGUAUUUAAUGCAACAACCAGGUUAAUUAUCGCAAUGAGUUAUUUGUGACUGUCUAUAUGUGCAUUAAUAUUACCAUUUUUAAGAAUCUAUUAAAUCAAUUACGUAAUAGUUGAACUUUCGGACAGCCUUAAAACAAAUGCCCAUUUGUAACAAUAAUACUUUAAUAAAGUCCUAUAGACUUUCGAACGUCAGUUUAUAUACAUAUUUCCUUUUCCAUAUCAUUUGAUUUACAUCGGUUUGUAGUCACUGUAAGGGUUUUCAGAGAAACUUGCAACAAAUUACGCUUCAACCAAAACAAAAUGAUGAAAAUAAUAACUAAAUUGCAAUGCGGAAAACGUGAAAAAAAACACACAAAUAUAUAAUAAUGUUAGAAAAAAUCUAUGUCUUUUAUUUUAUCGUAUUUGGUCAGUACACAAAUUGAACAUACGUGUAGUUAGUUAUUUGAGAAGACAGAGAGUAAAACCACACAGUUUGAUAAAACCUAACACAUUUCUGUGUUUCAGAGCGAAACAGUUUGUAAAUAGUCCAAACAAUUGCACAGUAAUGAUAGAACAUGGGUUAAAUUUCGUGUCUUGGUCAAACAUAAAAAAUAGCACAUGCUUGAUCAGAUAACUAGCAUACAGAGUAUGUAACAACUUAAGAUUCAAUUAUAGAUACCUUUAUCGAAACGUCGUAAAUGUGAAUACAUAUCACAAAACAAAAGACUAUUAAUAAAUACGUGUAUAGUAAGUUCUAUUUGACAGACAUAGUUUGUAACAUCAAAUCAUUCGAUGACAAAUGGCCAAUGUCGUUUUGUUUUCGCAAUGCUUGUGGCUAAGGCAAGACCUAUAGUUGACUCGUGUGUAAUAAAUUAAUUUAUCGUGUACAAAACAAACUCAUAUAAUGGAAGAACGAAGGUUUUAAUUGUAUCUCGAACAUUGUGAAACACAGCCACAAACUAACCGAGUUAAGAUGAUAAGUCGUAUAUAAUAUGCAAAAGAAAGCCUUUUUUUCAGAACCUAAACAUUUGCGAAAGGUUUCAACAAAAAAAGGAAAUAUCAACACAUAAUUCGAGGAAAAAAAGCUAUUUGUAAACAUAAAAAGCAUAUCAAAAUCUGUUACUUACACUUUUUUCGUAUUUAUUUCAAAACCAAAAGUCAUCAUGUUAAAAUUUUUAUUGGGCAGGUAUAACUUGCAAUACGACAACAUUCAGUGAAAAAAACAAUAGUUUUAUUGCAGCAAAUAACAACACAAUAACAAACAGAAUAGAAGUGACAAAAUAAUCGAAUAUAGGACUUUAUAGUAUAAAGAGCAACGCCUUAAUCACGUUAAAUAAGUAUUCAACGACCAGUUACAUUAAUCUUCUGUAAAUUUAUGAAUUGAGCCUGGACUCAUUUAAAGCACGCUUGUUAACAACGACGAACUGUAUAUGCUAAAAUGAACAACAAGUUUUCUGAUCUGUUCUGCUGUGUUCUUUUCUGAUAAAGAUAUUUUAAAUAGCAUACAUAAGCAGAAAUUGCAUGUAAUAAAAUACGUUUAAGCAAAACUCUCUAGUACAGUCUUUUUUUCCUACCUUUUCGAAGUAUAUUAAUGCUUCUUUAAUUAAUUUAUUUUUUGGUUUAAGCAUUGCCUUUUGUUUGUCUUGUCAUUUUACAUCUUCUUUUAUCUGUUUCUCUAUCAAUAUAAAACUCUCUCAUUUUUAUGUAUGGCAACCACUCCCACUUCUUAAAUAACAUUACAUGAUAACACCAUAUUUUUUACAUUUAGUGUGUAUAUGAUUUACUGUGUUGUGUAAUGCGGAAUAUUUAAUAAUAAUAAAAAGGUAUAUAAAAUAGUUUUCAUCGUUGACCUUUCUGUUACCUUUAACUAUAUGGCAUCCAUUUAAUAUCAAUGGAAGAGCUUAAACACAUGAAAUUUUACAAGGUAGGCAAAUGAUUGUAAACUAUGAUGUUUGUUUGUUAAUAAUAUAGGUCUUAAUUGCAUUUUAGCAAAACAUUUUGUAAAGAGUUCAAGAGUGUAGGUUCGUACUUACUAGGCCCAUACUAUUUAAGAAUGGUGAUUUAAUUCAGAGUCGAAAGCUGUGUUUUCUCUUUCUAAAAAUUAAGUAUAAGUGUGUAUGUCUAUAUUAGCUUUUGUAUUUGUAACAAUUGAAACUCCAUUACUAUGUGUAGUAUUUCCACUGAAAAAAAACAGGUUAUAAUAGAAAGGUUUGAACGAUGUAUUUCUUAUAACAAUAUGAUAUCAUACUUAUUACUAAAAGUCCAUUUGAGUAUUUGAUUUGUUUCUGUUUGUCUAUGUUACCUUAACCUGGAACAUAAAUGAUACAUGUAUUUGUGUUUCCAUUUUACAAACUUAUAAAGAUGUCUGAAUCCUACGACAGUUUCUAGUCAUAACAGAAAAGGGUAAACAUGUAUGAAACAAAAGCGAAUGACAUUUGCAAAAAUGUGUGUAGUGGCAAACAAGUUAGAUCGAUAGUUGUGUUCAUUUUUUAAAUUGUGUUAUACAUAUAUGAUGUUUUUGGAAGUAUGAUGUAUGUGUAAUAACAUUCAUUAUUGAACAUAGUAUUAUGUCAUAAUUUUGACAAUGGUAAUAAAAUACAAGCUUACACACAUUUAUAUUUUGUCCGUAACAAUGCAAUAGGGAAGUAGUAAUAUUUAUAUUCAACAAAACGAAAAUUGUUGUUAACUAUUGGGGAAAAAACAUUUUCACUUUUCAAUUAAUUAUCAAAUUGUUUAAAUUGUUUACAUUCAUAUACAAAUUCAUAGGCAAAUGUUUAUAACGUUUGAUUUAUAUUUCUCUUUCUUUGAUAACAAAUUAAAAGCUCCUGCAAUUUAUUACGAAUAGCGCAUAUACAUCACAAGCAACGGACAUUCUUUGAUUAAUUUAAUAAAUUGAAUAUUGUGUGUUUUUUACAGAUAUUGAUAAGGCAAGUUGACAUACCAUGGUCAAACUGAAAAACCAUCAUCAAAGUUAAUGAAUAAACAACAUAAGAAAAUGGUAUAGUUAGAAAUGCGUUUCAUCUAUUUAAAUGAAACAUGAUUAGGAUAUGUGACUAGGUCUAGGUAAAGUCCGGUCGUGAAUAAUUAUUGAUUUAAUUUAUUCGGAAAAACUCUAACAAAUACAUAGUUGAAAGCUAUGAAGUCUCAAUUAUUACAUAAAUAAUGUCACAAAAUUGCAUAUUGAUCGAAUUUUAACUUUGGAUAAACAGUUUGAUUUUGCAGGUAUAGCUUGACAAUCCAGAACAAUCGGUUACAAAAUAAAAAGGUGAUAUGAUUGCAGCAAUGUAAAAAUGAAAGCAAUCCAAAACUGUAUAAUGUUUUCGCGAAAAUAUUUUUGAAGACUUUGAAGUGUACAAGAUUGUACAAUAUUUAAAAAUAUAAUCAAUUUAAG